Molecule: ribosomal RNA, 502 nt
Filed under: uncultured bacterium
Lineage: Bacteria
Description: bacterial SSU rRNA
Rfam family: Bacterial small subunit ribosomal RNA
Source: RNAcentral
GAUGAACGCUGGCGGCGCAUUUAAGACAUGCAAGUCGAACGAAAAUUUACGCUUUACAAGUUGAGUGAUUUAUCAUAAGACAAGUAAUUGUAAAUUUUAGUGGCGGACGGGUGAGUAAUACAUAGAUAAUCUGCCUCUUAGAGGGAAAUAACUACUGGAAACGGUAGCUAAUGUCCCAUAAGACCACGCUUAGGCAUCUAAGAGAGGUCAAAGGAGAAAUCCGCUAAGAGAUGAGUCUAUGGCUGAUUAGUUAGUUGGUGGGGUAAGGGCCUACCAAGACUAUGAUCAGUAGCCGAGCUGAGAGGCUGGCCGGCCACAUUGGGACUGAGACACGGCCCAGACUCCUACGGGAGGCAGCAGUUGGGAAUAUUGGACAAUGGAGGAAACUCUGAUCCAGUGACGCCGCGUGAAGGAAGAAGGUCUUCGGAUUGGUAAAACUUAUUUUAUCAGGGAAGAACAAAUGACUGUACCUGAAGAGAAGCACCGGCUAACUACGUGCCAG